Molecule: non-coding RNA, 30 nt
Filed under: Mus musculus (house mouse)
Lineage: Eukaryota; Metazoa; Chordata; Mammalia; Rodentia; Muridae
Source: RNAcentral
UAUGCAGAAAACUGUGCACAUUCGAUGUCU